CUCCGGUUGAUCCCGCCGGACCCGACUGCUAUCAGAGUGGGACUAAGCCAUGCGAGUCAACGUAGCAAUACGUGGCAUACGGCUCAGUAACACGUAGUCAACAUGCCCAGGGGACGUGGAUAACCUCGGGAAACUGAGAAUAAACCACGAUAGGUCACGAUUUCUGGAAUGGAUCAUGGCCUAAAUCUACAUGGCCCCUGGAUUGGACUGCGGCCGAUCAGGCUGUUGGUGAGGUAAUGGCCCACCAAACCUAUAACCGGUACGGGCUCUGAGAGGAGAAGCCCGGAGAUGGGCACUGAGACAAGGGCCCAGGCCCUAUGGGGCGCAGCAGGCGCGAAACCUCUGCAAUAGGCGAAAGCCUGACAGGGUUACUCUGAGUGAUUUCCGCUAAGGGGAUCUUUUGGCACCUCUAAAAAUGGUGCAGAAUAAGGGGUGGGCAAGUCUGGUGUCAGCCGCCGCGGUAAUACCAGCACCCCGAGUGGUCGGGACGAUUAUUGGGCCUAAAGCAUCCGUAGCCGGUUCUGCAAGUCUUCCGUUAAAUCCAGCCGCUCAACGGAUGGGCCGCGGAGGAUACUACAGGACUAGGAGGCGGGAGAGGCAAGCGGUACUCAGUGGGUAGGGGUAAAAUCCUUUGAUCCAUUGAAGACCACCAGUGGCGAAGGCGGCUUGCCAGAACGCGCUCGACGGUGAGGGAUGAAAGCUGGGGGAGCAAACCGGAUUAGAUACCCGGGUAGUCCCAGCUGUAAACGAUGCAGACUCGGUGAUGGGCUAGCCUUGUGCCAGCCCAGUGCCGCAGGGAAGCCGUUAAGUCUGCCGCCUGGGGAGUACGGUCGCAAGACUGAAACUUAAAGGAAUUGGCGGGGGAGCA
This 868-nucleotide ribosomal RNA is filed under the name uncultured archaeon. RNAcentral describes it as "bacterial SSU rRNA". It matches the Rfam family "Archaeal small subunit ribosomal RNA", at positions 1 to 878 of the family's 1478-position model. The record is from RNAcentral.